CUCCUGGAAAACGGGUGGUAAUGCCGGAUGUUCCACAUGAUCGCAUGUGAUUGUGGGAAAGAUUUCAUCGGCGUGGGAUGGGGUCGCGUCCUAUCAGCUUGUUGGUGAGGUAACGGCUCACCAAGGCUUCGACGGGUAGCCGGCCUGAGAGGGCGACCGGCCACAUUGGGACUGAGAUACGGCCCAGACUCCUACGGGAGGCAGCAGUGGGGAAUAUUGCACAAUGGGCGCAAGCCUGAUGCAGCGACGCCGCGUGAGGGAUGGAGGCCUUCGGGUUGUAAACCUCUUUUGUUUGGGAGCAAGCCUUCGGGUGAGUGUACCUUUCGAAUAAGCGCCGGCUAACUACGUGCCAGCAGCCGCGGUAAUACGUAGGGCGCAAGCGUUAUCCGGAUUUAUUGGGCGUAAAGGGCUCGUAGGCGGCUCGUCGCGUCCGGUGUGAAAGUCCAUCGCUUAACGGUGGAUCUGCGCCGGGUACGGGCGGGCUGGAGUGCGGUAGGGGAGACUGGAAUUCCCGGUGUAACGGUGGAAUGUGUAGAUAUCGGGAAAGAACACCA
RNAcentral lists this ribosomal RNA (554 nucleotides) under Bifidobacterium bifidum. RNAcentral describes it as "bacterial SSU rRNA". It matches the Rfam family "Bacterial small subunit ribosomal RNA", at positions 147 to 711 of the family's 1533-position model. Lineage: Bacteria; Bacillati; Actinomycetota; Actinomycetes; Bifidobacteriales; Bifidobacteriaceae. The record is from RNAcentral.